UAAACACCCUCACACAUAAUCAGAGACACACACAGAUGACUGCAUGUCUCAUUGUAUACUCCCCAGAAAGCAGUUGGAACUCGCUGGUGGCCACUGGAGGUUAUGAUAACAUGAAAUUAGGCUUUGGCAGAGUCCAUCUACUUUCACACCUCAAUGCCUUCCUAAAUUUACCAACAUUUACAGCACAUAACCGUACUGAGCCCAGGAAACCCCGGCCUUUCCUGAGCUGCAUGAUUCAUCAGGAUCAUUUUGGGUCUAUUCAGUUUUGUUCGUAUAGCUCAAUUUCACAAUGAAACUAAUCUCAGAUCAUUUGGCACUGAGGAGAAAGCCAAAACAGCUAUCAGCUCCUCUUGGGGAUCCAGGCUGGGAAAGGAAAAAAGGAUCUAAAAAGGACCCCUCACAAUGAUUCUGCACAAUCACAGCUGAAGUCAUUUUCACCAGCAGUGGUACCGGCUGAUGGAUGACCAUAGAAGACUUGAUUCUAUAAACUGUUUAUAUAUUUAUUUAUGGGUGUGUGUAUGCUAUUUUCAUGAGUAACCGUAUCACUCAGACUGUGACAGAGUUUAAUCUUUAACUCCAUUCCUGCUUAUGGUCCGUGUUUUAUAUUGGCAGCCUCCAGGAAAACUAAUAGAAAAGACAGAAACCUAUUGUAUUUCAUAUUUGCUCCAUUUUACCACGCUUGUACAGAUGGCAAAGAUAGCUAAUCUGAACCACUGAGGUUGUCAAUACCUGAGCAUGCAGGGUGACGGUAAUCUCAUCACGCGACACAUGGACUAUAGUCCAGGCAAUGAGCGAGGGAGAGGUCUUUCUUAUUGGUCUUGCUUUCUGUCCAGAGAUGUGGCCAUAAAUGGAUGAUAGAGCUCAAUCAUGCAAGUAACACCACCGCAGAUGCAUGCAAUAUUUGGAGUAAUAAGGUAAUAAUACCUUGACAAGCACGAGUCUGAUAAGGUUAAAGUCAGCACAGCAGUUAAAACUGUGUAACAGCAAGUCAGACUAUUCAAUGGCUUAUAUGCAUAGGCUGGUUACAAUGUAUUAAGUUUACAUACAUUUAGUAAAUUUAUAAUAUUUAAAGAAUUAUUUAAUAUAUAUUUUUAAGUCUCUCUGAUCAGAUGACGAAUAAAGAGUCAGAACAAUUGAAUUUAUACCAGAUUAGUGAUACACAAAAUAAUGUGAUAAUGC
Molecule: long non-coding RNA, 1179 nt
Organism: Cyprinodon tularosa
Lineage: Eukaryota; Metazoa; Chordata; Actinopteri; Cyprinodontiformes; Cyprinodontidae
Exons: 3
Source: RefSeq, a predicted model, not a curated record